This is a long non-coding RNA of Ictalurus punctatus (channel catfish), 377 nucleotides long. NCBI's taxonomy places the organism in Eukaryota, Metazoa, Chordata, Actinopteri, Siluriformes, Ictaluridae. The record is from Ensembl.
GCGCGUUGUAACAGUCAGAGGUAAAGCUGUAACGUUGCACUUCUGACAGCUUCAGGACAGAGGAGUUUACACUUUCUGGUUUCUCUAUGACACUGCUUUGUAUUUUUUGUUUGUUUUAUUCGUUUAAACAGAACGGAAAAUGGAACGAGACGGAGCGACUGUUUUUGGCGGCUGUAACGUAACGUGAGAAGAGGAACUAACUUGUUUCGCGGAUGUUCAACAGUAAUGAAUGCAGAUCCAGUGAAGAGGAAGUACAAAUGUUUACAGAAGGAAAUAAAGGACACUCUGUUGCCUCAAUUUUGACUGGGGAGACACGCAGAGAGCACGGCCAAUGCAAGAGCAAGAGGACCAGAUAUGGCUGUGUCAUUGGGUUCUUG